CUUGAUCCCAGCUGAAAACUGACUUUGCCAGCCGUCUGAGAACUCAAAUGAGAUGGAACUGGUUACAAGUUUAUCUGCAAUGAUCCAUCGAUGUUUUCCAGUAACUGCCACCUGUCCAACAAUCCCUUCUCCAAGACAAUAGACAUGAUAUGACAUCUUUGCCACAGCUAAUCCAAGCGGGUCAUGUGAAUAACGCCCACCACACAAGUGUUCUAAUGUCUCCCUGAAGCACUUACUCUCUAAAGGAUCAUGUUGCUCACAAUUGUCAUAGUAAGCAUCUUCCCAAGUUAACACCAUGCGAGCUCGAUGCUUG
This 313-nucleotide unclassified non-coding RNA is filed under the name Hevea brasiliensis (rubber tree). Lineage: Eukaryota; Viridiplantae; Streptophyta; Magnoliopsida; Malpighiales; Euphorbiaceae. The record is from RNAcentral.